This 301-nucleotide long non-coding RNA is filed under the name Vigna radiata. Its description in RNAcentral is "long non-coding RNA (VRAD_LNC009812)". Lineage: Eukaryota; Viridiplantae; Streptophyta; Magnoliopsida; Fabales; Fabaceae. The record is from RNAcentral.
GCCAGAGAUACAAAACCUAGAGCCCUUGGGUCCUUUAAAUAGAGUCAGAAAAGAGUAGAAACAGGCCCGGUCCUAAAGAGUCAAAACAGAGCAAAAACUAAGCUUGGUCUACGAAGCUCGACACUCGGGCACUCGACGUUGAUUUUCUGGCGCUCAUGACCCCAGACUGGGAGCCCAAGCCUUGCAGACUGAAUUCUGGUUGACUUUUUCUGCACUCUGGUUGACUUUUCUGCAUUCUGGUUGACUUUUUUGCAUUCUGGUUAACUUUUCUGCAUCCCAAUUAUUUGGUACUUUAACUCUU